Long non-coding RNA from Girardinichthys multiradiatus, 708 nucleotides. RefSeq lists it as uncharacterized. The transcript has 3 exons. Lineage: Eukaryota; Metazoa; Chordata; Actinopteri; Cyprinodontiformes; Goodeidae. The record is from RefSeq and is a predicted model, not a curated record.
GAACGAGACUCUCGGUUGGGUAAACACAGUGAAGUACUUUCAGCAAAACGUGGACUUGGACAAGGACCAUAAGCCAGGGAAAAUCUAGGUCUGGAUCGUCAGGGUAAAAUCCACUCUGGGAAAGAGGAGUACAAAAAUUCAGAGUUCCUGCUGCUUAAGAGGUCUACCUUGAUUAGCCCAGAUGGUCCUCAGCUGUGUGAUUGCACUUGCUUUUCGCACCCUGCAGGAAGAGUAUACAGAAAAGAAAUGAGCAGAGUGAGAGGUGGUAUGACAUGCAGCAAAGGUUCCAGGGUGAGGAAUCAAACCCUGGACGGCUGCAUCAAAUACUCAUAGCCUCUGUAUAUGGUGCACAUGCUCUACCUCUACACCACGUGCUGCCUAAACCCUAAACUUUUGAUACAACUUCUGCUACUGUGUUUACACCUGCAGGUCUCGGUCACAAAAUCCCCAACACCCUGGACAGGUUGGCAGCCCAAAACCAUGAAUUAACAUUAUUAAAUCAAACUCAGAUCAUUUGAAAAAGAUGGACAUGCUGUGCAUUUUAACAGAUAGCUUUGUUUUUGGCAUUUUCACAGUGUCUAAACGUCAUAUAUUAAUGCUUAUCUACUGCGUCAUAUUCUCACACUUUUAUCUCCAGUUUGUUUGAAUAAACUCAACUUACAAAACCUCAUAACUGCUACUUUAAAAAACAAAAACAAGAAUGUGAAC